UACGAAGGGGGCUAGCGUUGCUCGGAAUCACUGGGCGUAAAGGGUGCGUAGGCGGGUCUUUAAGUCAGGGGUGAAAUCCUGGAGCUCAACUCCAGAACUGCCUUUGAUACUGAGGAUCUUGAGUUCGGGAGAGGUGAGUGGAACUGCGAGUGUAGAGGUGAAAUUCGUAGAUAUUCGCAAGAACACCAGUGGCGAAGGCGGCUCACUGGCCCGGUACUGACGCUGAGAGGCGAAAGCGUGGGGAGCAAACAGG
RNAcentral lists this ribosomal RNA (253 nucleotides) under uncultured bacterium. RNAcentral's name for it is "partial 16S ribosomal RNA". It matches the Rfam family "Bacterial small subunit ribosomal RNA", at positions 524 to 776 of the family's 1533-position model. The record is from RNAcentral.